AGUCUCUCCCUGAAACCAGAGACAACAUUAUUUUGUUAAAUGAUGACAGUUGCUAAAUUGUUUCUGUCAGUUAAUGUGCUAUUAGCUUAGCCACUUCACAAGGGUGUUCUUUCUGAGAUGAAGAGGGCGUAUUUUACAUGGGGAUAGUCUUUUUAAUCACUUCAAGGCAAACGUCUCUGCUCAACCAUGUAGGUGAUAAGGAGACAUCUGGAGACGCAGGUCCUAACUUUAUGCAUCUUGAGAGGCUGCCAAGGGACGGCGACCUUGAAAAGCCAGGUAAGAAGCUAACGUGUUUUUAAACACCUAAGGGACAGGAAGAGAAGGGUGAGAUACAGCGCAUUUAGCAGAGAGGGCAAAUUUUCCUAGGCUUUAACUGCAGCAAAUGCCCUGUGGUCAGUUUGAAAUGACUAUUAUUACGAAGAUCAGCACAGGCUCCACCCCUUUGCUAUAGUAAUCCUUCGAUUUCAGUCCCACCCCUGAGAGGGCAGACUCACCAAAUUUUAGCUUUCCACUCCAUCGUCAUCAAAAUAAUAGCUGCAAUCUUACUAAGCACUUAAUAAGAGCUCAAAAUCAGUAGGUAUUAUAAUUGUUAUUCUUAUGUUUCGGGCACUGGUACUUUUGUUAAGACACUUUACAGAUGACAGAACUGAGCUCAUAGUUGUGAAGUGACCUGCUGAAUGUCAGGUGGCUGCAGGUGGCGAGGCUGAGAUCAGAGCAGAGUUCUGCCAGAGAACAGAGGCCAGAUGCUCAGGGGAGACGCUGUGUUACCCGCUUGCCCUGUGACCUGCUCCUCAUGACCGUCCAUCCACGGAACCACGUUCCUGCUCUGCUACAGGAGGCAGCAUGGUGGAUGCCCUAAGGGUCCCUGUCCAAAUCCUCAGAAUCUGUGAAUUUACUAUGUUACAUGGUAAAGGGGAAUUAAGGUUGCAGAUGGAAAUAAAGUACAGAGAUUAUCCUGGAUGAUAAUGUGAUCACAAGUGAGAGGGAGGCAGACAGUGUGAUGAAGCAGCAGCUUAGAGCGAUUCGAUGUGAGAAAAUGCAACUGGCCAUUGCUGCCUUUGAAGAAAGAAAGAGAGAGAGAGAGAGACCACAAGCCAAGGAGAAAAGGCAGCCUCUAGAAACUGGAAAUGGCAAAGGAGCGGCUUCUUUCUGUGAAGGUUAAUUUUAUGGUCCAUGUAACUGGGCCAUAGGGUGCCUAGAUUGAACAUUAUCCUGGAAACCGGAUAUUCUUGGGAAUUGAGGGACUCUUGAGAAAAGAUCUUAAAAUAGUAUCAAUGGUUGAGUAUUAGCAUUUACAGAAAUGCCUAACACGAAAGAAGGAACCAGCAAGGAGAGUUCCCAUCAUGACUCAGUGGCAAUGAACCCAACUAGUAUCCAUGAGGAUGAUGUGGAUUUGAUCCCUGACCUCGCUCAGUGGGUUGAGGACCCAGCAUUGCCGGUGAGCUGUGGUGCAGGUCGCAGACAUGGCUCAGAUCUGGCGUUGCUGUGGCUGUGGUGUAGCUGUAGCUCUGAUUCAGCUCCUAACCUGGGAACUUCCAUAUGCCUUAGGUGCGGCCCUAAAAAAGGGAAGAAAGAAAGAAAGAACAAACAAACAAGUUAACCAUAAGAAAAGACAGGUUCAUCUGACAGAAAAUUCACCCCACAGGAGGAGAGAACUUGGUUCUGAGUCCAACUAACCACAGAAGAAGGCAAUGAGAGAGAAGUGGUUCCAGGUCCCUUAUAAAAUGAACAUCUGAUCUGACCACUCUAAAGGGGUGUGCAUGCCCUCUAGAGGUAAGAAAGAGGAAAAAGAACAUUUAUGAAAUGCCAGAAGAAUACUAAGGCAUCAGAAAAGCCAUGUACCAUAUGUACUGCUAUGAGGGCAGCACAUAUGAAAGGUAAUUAGGUACCUCUUUUAAAUGAAACCAUUAAAAAUGGAAAGGCCAUUCUUAGACCUUGGGCCAUGAAAGAAAGAAAGGAAAGAGAAAGCAAGCAAGCAAGCAAGCAAGCAGAAAGAAAGAGGCAGAGGGUGCAAACUGACCCAGGAGCAGCAGAUGGAAUUCCUAGUUCCAUUGCAUGUGGUUUAUCCUCAGUCAUUUAACACUCAAGGACUCUAGCUUUAAAGGGUUCUUUCUCUAACUGAAGUUAAUGACAACCUUCUGUUGUAUCCUGGUGACUUUUUUAAGUAUGUGGGGUGGGUGGGUGGGGGGAGUUAAACCUUCCACAGGUCUUACUGGACUUAUUCCAAUGGAAUUACUGGGAAUCUGGACUCCCUCCCCUGUUUCUCUUUGAAAUGUUUACCACAUCAAUAUUCUUGGGCUUCUUCCACAGCCUAUUUAACAGAAAACACAUUUUCAUCCGUGCUUUUAGUCUUUUCCACACUGGCAUCCUUUGGAUCUUAAAAAGGAACAGUGUUGGGCUAAUUAAUUACUUUGCAAGCGCUCAGAAAUCAGCCUUCUUUUUUGUUAUUACUGUCAGUGGAUGUCUGAAUUCUCUUAACAUAUUAAAUAUUUCUUAGAUGAGUAAAUAUUCCUAGAAUGAAUAGCUUUUUGGAAUCCAAACUUUUCUGGGGAGAUAAACUUUCACAGAGCAACUUGUGCUUUUUAAUCCCUAAAUAAUUAAAACGAGAUAAUCUCGUGCCCACUCGUUUUCCGCAUUUGGAUCUCAGCUCCAGGAGAAGUGUCCGUAGCCAGACAGAAGUCUCAGUCUGCCUGGGAGGUGCCCCAGUGAAUCUGCCACAUUUUCCCCACCCUCUCUGAGACCACAGCCCCACCUCCACAUUCCUCAUUCUCAACAGAUGAUCCCUCCUCCUUCUAAAUAAUUGAGAACAUUUAUCAGGACCCGCAGCAUCUCCACCUGAAAGUUUAUGGGCAUCUUCACUUGCCUUUUCUUGUUUGUUCUUCUUUCCGAGGAGAACACUGUUUUUCUCCUUAACACACCCAAGUUCUUAGCUGUUCCUUGGUCUCAUGCACUGCUUCCCACUCCAGUGUACUACUCUAUUUAUGAAAUCUUUACGGCAUUCUCCUUUGCUCCCGUUCCACUCCUCCUCCUCUUUGGCCAUAAGUAUACUCAUAUUGCCCCUAUCAUUAAAAACAGCAACUUUGCUCUCUACUGU
RNAcentral lists this long non-coding RNA (3094 nucleotides) under Sus scrofa (pig). Its description in RNAcentral is "lncRNA (ENSSSCG00060073271.1)". The record is from RNAcentral. Lineage: Eukaryota; Metazoa; Chordata; Mammalia; Artiodactyla; Suidae.